CUUAAAUGAGCUAUCUAGUUUGGGCACUUCUGAAAAUUGAACAAUUGAACUACUCUGAAACUUCUGCAAAACUGUUAAAAUCUUCACUGCAUUCUACUGAGCAGAUGUACAAGUUCAGUAAAGAAGGCUCCAUCUCCAAAUACAACUUUUCUAAAUGUAUAUAUUUCCCACUGAAGAGAUGUGAAAUACAAGGCAUGCAAAAGGUCUUCUACUCAGAUAAUCUACUGCACACACUACUGCUUCUGUCAGUCCUCAUUAAAACCAACACUGGAGAUCCAAGAGUGAUAAAUCCAAGCAUAACAGAAAAAUGUAUGUUGUAGUUCAUAUCUUUGAUCACACCACUCAAAAAUGGUCACUGCCUCAGAGAGGAGAGAUCAGCUUCAUUCAUCAGUCAUGUUUCUAUUCAUGCACCUGUUCUUUAGCAUCUUACAAAAUCAAGAUGGAUGGCUCCUGUCCACUCUGUAGUUCUCAGCAUCUUUAACUCCUUCCUGAGCAGCUGCUACACAUACACUCUGAAUUUCCUGGAAUUUGGACUAUCA
Molecule: long non-coding RNA, 539 nt
Organism: Gallus gallus (chicken)
Lineage: Eukaryota; Metazoa; Chordata; Aves; Galliformes; Phasianidae
Source: Ensembl